Molecule: ribosomal RNA, 508 nt
Filed under: uncultured bacterium
Lineage: Bacteria
Description: bacterial SSU rRNA
Rfam family: Bacterial small subunit ribosomal RNA
Source: RNAcentral
CUACGUGCCAGCAGCCGCGGUAAUACGUAGGUGGCAAGCGUUGUCCGGAAUUAUUGGGCGUAAAGCGCGCGCAGGUGGUUUAAUAAGUCUGAUGUGAAAGCCCACGGCUCAACCGUGGAGGGUCAUUGGAAACUGUUAAACUUGAGUGCAGGAGAGAAAAGUGGAAUUCCUAGUGUAGCGGCGAAAUGCGUAGAGAUUAGGAGGAACACCAGUGGCGAAGGCGGCUUUUUGGCCUGUAACUGACACUGAGGCGCGAAAGCGUGGGGAGCAAACAGGAUUAGAUACCCUGGUAGUCCACGCCGUAAACGAUGAGUGCUAAGUGUUGGUCUCAUAAGAGAUCAGUGCUGCAGCUAACGCAUUAAGCACUCCGCCUGGGGAGUACGACCGCAAGGUUGAAACUCAAAGGAAUUGACGGGGGCCCGCACAAGCGGUGGAGCAUGUGGUUUAAUUCGAUGCAACGCGAAGAACCUUACCUACUCUUGACAUCCAGAGAAUUCGCUAGAGAUAG